CGGUUCAUUUCACUUUUUAUUUUUUCAGCCAGGUUUUGGCAAGAGUUAUACUCAGCAGAGGGAUUUGAGGGACAAAAUAAAAACAAACACAAAAAGGCAGGGAAGGAAGAAAACAACCAGCACUGACAGAGACAGCCGAAUGUGGGGAGGGCAGAGAAGUUGGUCUAUAGGCCACAGGCCGUGUCCUGGGGAUGAGGACUCCAAGAAGAAAAGAAGUGCGGACUAGAAAUCUUGCUGCUGACUUGCAUAUAGAAGAAUCUUCAAUAUGUUUACAACAUGCUGGGUGCAAAAGGAUUGCAGCAGAAUGAGUCGUAAUCCAAAAAUUGAGAACUGCAGCCACUAUGUCUGUGAUAAAACCAGACCAGCAACAUUUAAUAAUCAUUGAUGGCUUGGACUGUGCCAGGCACUCUGCUAUGCAUGUACAGAUGUUACCUCUGAAUCCCCACAUGACUGUCAGUUGCUGAGCUUGGGGAGAUACGAACCUGAAGCCACCAAGUCCACCCACAAGAAGAGCUCUCUUGAAAGUGAAGGCAACAAAAUACAAAAGGCAGAGGACAAAUGGUAUUAUUUCAAUUCCUAGAUACCACUGUACCUGAAGAAUAACAAUUCUGAGUGUGAAGAAUUUUUUGCUUCAGUGACUUGGAGAUCGGUUUUUGCCACAUAUAGCUGAGAAUUUAAUACGGUGAGAUAUGGUUAAAGUGGUAUUCAGAGCAGCUGAAAAGCAGUAGCUCCUGAGCAGGGGCAGGAUGGGGCUGAAGAUGGGUCUGUGGAGAUGAGGGACAAUAACAUUGUCACCACCGUGUACACCCUUCAGUCGUAACUCCUCCACCAACAAGCCCCCUCUAACAGCCACACACCUGAAUCAUUUUACCUCAGGGAGGGCAUGUCUUCCAGGAAAGUGUUUUGAUAGUGGGAAUAGGCUAAAUCAAAUCUCAAAGACUUGUCUACAACUUGAUCUAGGAAGAUGCAGAAUCACCCAUGUUUUUAUUUCUCUAAAUUGCUUGUUUUGAGGGCCCCACAUUGGGAGUGCAGCAGCACCCCAGACUUAUGAGGAAUCUUUUAUUCCAUAGCCUUUUCUAUACCCUUAUUAAUAUCGCUGCUACUGAAGACAUGCUCUAAGGCUCUCCAGUGCCAUCUAUACUCUGGAGUAACUCUGAACUGUGGAGUUCUUUGCUCUGUGUGUCUACAAGCAUGUGCAUUUCCCAGUUUAGUUUACUGUCAUUUCAUCCAAGCAUAAAUUUCCCAUCAACUCACAUGAAAGAAUUUAGCAGAAGCUGGAACACAAUAAAUGAGAAUUGGGCAGCAAGGCUGAUAAAAAUCCAAUCCUGAUUUUACUAAGAAAUAAAACAUACAUGUCAUUCAGAGUCGGUUCAUCAAAAUCAGAUCCUGGGCUUACUAAGCAAUAAAAUGAAUGUGUCAAGCUGAUCAACGUGGGAUCCUGAAAACUGGUUGCUGGCAAGGUUUUUCAGACUCCACAGGAAAAGGAAUGAUCCAAAUAGGAGUUUGGAGUCUUAAGCAUUCUAUUCUUCUCCUGGGAAGGAAGCCAAUCUUGUCUCAAAAAAGAAAGCCUGCUGAAUUAUGCCCACGUUCCUUUGCAGAUGAGAAAACUGAAGAAUAGAAAGGUGAAGCAAUGUGUCCAAGGAAACCGGUGGAGGCUCUUUGGAAUUGGUCUGCAGUGCCUAAAUGGAUCCCUCAUCCUGUUUUGGAUGAAAAUACUGAGUUGGAAAGCCUUUUCCAGGGUGAACCUUCACCAAGAAUUUGUUUUCCAGGCAAAACAGCUAGAGGCAAUGAAAGAAGAGUAAAAAAUAAAUUAUAGAAGCAAAAUAAAAGCAAACAGUAGAGAUCAAGAUUUUCAUAGAAGGAACAGAAGAAAGGAAGCUUUCUCCUGUGGGUGAAAUAAUUGCACAAAUAGUGCAAUCUUAAAAGUUGUACCACAUGUUCAGGGAAAGAAUUAGAUGAAGAGCUGAAAAAAUCUGAUCGGUCAAACACAGGCAGUACUAAUGGUCUAGAAUAAAUUGAACCAAGUGUCAAAGAAGAGCCUUAACACAAAACCAAUUAACAAUAAAACCCUAGGCAAUAGAGAGAAGCUGAUAUUCAGAGUAAGCUCAUCAAGGUAAUUAGAUGCCUAGACAUCAGUCAAAAAUUACAAGCCAUACUAAGAACAGAAAGACAUGGUCCAACCGAAUGAGCAAAUUAAAACUUCAGAAGGGACAAAGAAUUUGGA
Long non-coding RNA from Choloepus didactylus (southern two-toed sloth), 2224 nucleotides. RefSeq lists it as uncharacterized. The record is from RefSeq and is a predicted model, not a curated record. Lineage: Eukaryota; Metazoa; Chordata; Mammalia; Pilosa; Megalonychidae. The transcript is spliced from 5 exons.